RNAcentral lists this ribosomal RNA (1369 nucleotides) under uncultured bacterium. RNAcentral describes it as "bacterial SSU rRNA". It matches the Rfam family "Bacterial small subunit ribosomal RNA", at positions 28 to 1381 of the family's 1533-position model. The record is from RNAcentral.
GACGAACGCUGGCGGCGUGCCUAAUACAUGCAAGUAGAACGCUGAAGAGAGGAGCUUGCUCUUCUUGGAUGAGUUGCGAACGGGUGAGUAACGCGUAGGUAACCUGCCUUGUAGCGGGGGAUAACUAUUGGAAACGAUAGCUAAUACCGCAUAACAAUGGAUGACACAUGUCAUUUAUUUGAAAGGGGCAAUUGCUCCACUACAAGAUGGACCUGCGUUGUAUUAGCUAGUAGGUGAGGUAACGGCUCACCUAGGCGACGAUACAUAGCCGACCUGAGAGGGUGAUCGGCCACACUGGGACUGAGACACGGCCCAGACUCCUACGGGAGGCAGCAGUAGGGAAUCUUCGGCAAUGGGGGCAACCCUGACCGAGCAACGCCGCGUGAGUGAAGAAGGUUUUCGGAUCGUAAAGCUCUGUUGUAAGUCAAGAACGAGUGUGAGAGUGGAAAGUUCACACUGUGACGGUAGCUUACCAGAAAGGGACGGCUAACUACGUGCCAGCAGCCGCGGUAAUACGUAGGUCCCGAGCGUUGUCCGGAUUUAUUGGGCGUAAAGCGAGCGCAGGCGGUUUGAUAAGUCUGAAGUUAAAGGCUGUGGCUCAACCAUAGUUCGCUUUGGAAACUGUCAAACUUGAGUGCAGAAGGGGAGAGUGGAAUUCCAUGUGUAGCGGUGAAAUGCGUAGAUAUAUGGAGGAACACCGGUGGCGAAAGCGGCUCUCUGGUCUGUAACUGACGCUGAGGCUCGAAAGCGUGGGGAGCGAACAGGAUUAGAUACCCUGGUAGUCCACGCCGUAAACGAUGAGUGCCAGGUGUUGGAUCCUUUCCGGGAUUCAGUGCCGCAGCUAACGCAUUAAGCACUCCGCCUGGGGAGUACGACCGCAAGGUUGAAACUCAAAGGAAUUGACGGGGGCCCGCACAAGCGGUGGAGCAUGUGGUUUAAUUCGAAGCAACGCGAAGAACCUUACCAGGUCUUGACAUCCCGAUGCUAUUUCUAGAGAUAGAAAGUUACUUCGGUACAUCGGUGACAGGUGGUGCAUGGUUGUCGUCAGCUCGUGUCGUGAGAUGUUGGGUUAAGUCCCGCAACGAGCGCAACCCCUAUUGUUAGUUGCCAUCAUUCAGUUGGGCACUCUAGCGAGACUGCCGGUAAUAAACCGGAGGAAGGUGGGGAUGACGUCAAAUCAUCAUGCCCCUUAUGACCUGGGCUACACACGUGCUACAAUGGUUGGUACAACGAGUUGCGAGUCGGUGACGGCAAGCUAAUCUCUUAAAGCCAAUCUCAGUUCGGAUUGUAGGCUGCAACUCGCCUACAUGAAGUCGGAAUCGCUAGUAAUCGCGGAUCAGCACGCCGCGGUGAAUACGUUCCCGGGCCU